UACGUAGGGUGCGAGCGUUAAUCGGAAUAACUGGGCGUAAAGGGUGCGCAGGCGGGCUUUUAAGAGAGAUGUGAAAUCCCCGGGCUUAACCUGGGAAUAGCAUUUCAGACUGGAAGUCUAGAGUACUUUAGAGAGGGGUAGAAUUCCGCGUGUAGCAGUGAAAUGCGUAGAGAUGUGGAGGAAUACCGAAGGCGAAGGCAGCCCCUUGGGAAUGUACUGACGCUCAUGUACGAAAGCGUGGGGAGCAAACAGG
RNAcentral lists this ribosomal RNA (253 nucleotides) under uncultured bacterium. RNAcentral describes it as "partial 16S ribosomal RNA". It matches the Rfam family "Bacterial small subunit ribosomal RNA", at positions 524 to 776 of the family's 1533-position model. The record is from RNAcentral.